This 1071-nucleotide long non-coding RNA is filed under the name Dendronephthya gigantea. RNAcentral's name for it is "uncharacterized LOC114517758, transcript variant X3". Lineage: Eukaryota; Metazoa; Cnidaria; Anthozoa; Malacalcyonacea; Nephtheidae. The record is from RNAcentral.
ACCUCUUUUGUCUUCCUUUUUAAUUUAUGAUCAGUCUAAUCAAUAUAUGCAAAUGAAUCUUAUUAUAAACAUGAGAGCCCAACAUAUAACAUUUAAGAAAGCCAUCAAAACAAUUGAAGUUUAAAAGUAAUGAUGACUUUCUUUAAGGUUAUAUGUUGGGCUCUCAUAUUUAUAAUAAGAAUCCGUUUUCCGCCUGGCAAAUCUCUAGCUACGAUAUAUGCAAAUGAAGUUUACGUAAUCGUAUCUAUGAUGUAAUAAUUUAUGCUGAACCUAACACAUGCGCAGUUCACGACGAGCUUCUCUCUCGAUCUAUUCAAUAUGGUGGUCAAUCAAGAAAUGUUUUUGCUUGCAAAAAGAUCGUAAAUUGUUGGCGCUACAAGCUCGGAAAGAUUGUAAAUGAGAUCAGGCUUUUAUCAGCUCACAGAAUAACAAGAAGGAAGCAUCCAAACAAAUUCAUUUGUAACAUGGUGGAUAACAAAGUCCCUCUUUGAAAACCUACUUCAGUCAUUUUACGAUUAAAAGUCCAGCGAGAAAUGAAGUGAAAGGCGAUUUGAAAACCACGAGGUAAGGCAAUUGGUGGCGAUCGAAGGUGGACAGCAAGAUCGAAGCUCAGCAAGAUUGAAGAUUGUUCGAAGAAGAAGGAGUUCGCCGUUGACUAAAAGGUUUAUCUGAACAGCUAGUUGUCAAGAUGAAUGCGAAGACUCGCCCGGCCAAAUUCAAAAUGGCGAUGCCAAAGAAAACCAUCCACCUGGACCGUUCGCAGACCUUUCUGGGCAAGAUUGUUGUGCUGUCUGGUCAAAGUUAAGUAUUUUACUUUGAUGUUUGUGUGCCUUCGGCUAAUUGUUGGCCAGAAAUGACAAAAAGCCAUAUACAAUAUGAAAUAUUCUGCGUACAAGGUUAUCUAAAAUUUCGAACUUAAUUCUGCCUGCAAUGAUGAUAAUUUUUUACUGAAAAUUUAUGUCAUGAGCAACUUCCGCACCUAUAGACUGAAGCAGAACUGAACAUUUUGUCAUUAACGUUUAUCUCAACAGCCAGUUAUCAAGACGAACGUCAAGAGAACAGUUGAAAUAG